UACAGAGGUCUCAAGCGUUGUUCGGAUUCAUUGGGCGUAAAGGGUGCGUAGGCGGCGGAGCAAGUCAGGUGUGAAAUCCCGGAGCUCAACUCCGGAACUGCAUUUGAUACUGCUUCGCUAGAGUACUGGAGAGGAGACUGGAAUUUACGGUGUAGCAGUGAAAUGCGUAGAUAUCGGAAGGAACAUCAGUGGCGAAAGCGACUUCCUGGACCAAUACUGACGCUCAUGUGCGAAAGCGUGGGGAGCAAACAGG
This 253-nucleotide ribosomal RNA is filed under the name uncultured bacterium. RNAcentral describes it as "partial 16S ribosomal RNA". It matches the Rfam family "Bacterial small subunit ribosomal RNA", at positions 524 to 776 of the family's 1533-position model. The record is from RNAcentral.